Molecule: ribosomal RNA, 256 nt
Filed under: uncultured Pseudomonas sp.
Lineage: Bacteria; Pseudomonadati; Pseudomonadota; Gammaproteobacteria; Pseudomonadales; Pseudomonadaceae
Description: partial 16S ribosomal RNA
Rfam family: Bacterial small subunit ribosomal RNA
Source: RNAcentral
CGGCGGACGGGUGAGUAAUGCCUAGGAAUCUGCCUGGUAGUGGGGGACAACGUUUCGAAAGGAACGCUAAUACCGCAUACGUCCUACGGGAGAAAGCAGGGACCUUCGGGCCUUGCGCUAUCAGAUGAGCCUAGGUCGGAUUAGCUAGUUGGUGAGGUAAUGGCUCACCAAGGCGACGAUCCGUAACUGGUCUGAGAGGAUGAUCAGUCACACUGGAACUGAGACACGGUCCAGACUCCUACGGGAGGCAGCAGCA